ACAAAUAGUUGCAAUCUCAGAAGGUUCUGUUAUAAACCCAACUCCCAACUUUUAGACGAUGGGGAGCCUUGCGGUGUAAGAGGCUUCCUCAGGGCUCAUAGAACAGACUUGCUUCAUGGAGCUGAUCAAAGUGAAACUCGUGUGGCUCCUGUGGGGAAGAACAUUUCAAGUUGCAGGAGCAGUGUGAACAAAGCAAACAGCAGGGUCUGUGGACCACACUUGGAAUCAAGAAUAGAGAAGGUUGUGUGGAAAAAAACAAACAAAAACAAACAAAACAAAAAACUUGUGUAUGAUUCACCUCCAAGGAAAGAAACCAGGGAUAAUACUGUAAUUGAUCAUCUACAGUGUAAUAAGACCCUACCUAGUUGUGCCGCCUGUAUCAACUCUAGUCCUCAUGACACUGAUGCAAAGUAAAUGUUAUCUCCACAUUGACUGUGUAGCAAGUAAGGUCACAGAGAUUAGGUAAGCAAGAAAAGCCAUUUUAAUUGAAGAAAAAGUGACGAAUGAGCAGGACAUUCUAAUUCCAGUGAUGUGCUUUUUCCCAUUUUAAUGUCAGCUGAACCACAAAAAUGUUCAUUUUUCUCUCUUCAUACUUCCUAAGCUUGUGAUUGGUUCUCUGGUUAUUUUAUUUUUGAAUGAAGAGAAACUUUUGAAAUGGCUCUGUACAAUAGAACGUUCUGCAAUUACAGAAAUAUUCUACAUUUAUUUCUUCAAAUAGAACUUUCUGCAAUUACAAAAAUAUUCUACAUUUAUUCCUUCAAAUAUUGUAGCCACAUGUGGCUCUUGAGAAUUGAAAUGUGGCCGGUGUGACUGGAAAACUAAAAUUUUCAUUGAAUUGCAUUUUACUUAAAAUUUUAAAUAUUUAUAGCUUUUGGCUAAAAAAGUGGCUAAUUCUCGUUGGCUGCUGUAUAGGACAGCACAGCUUUAUGGAAAGGGUCCUGGGGUCGUUGAGUUUGAAAGCUGACCUGGAUUUGCACUGGAGGUAUAUGUGCCAUUUCAUACAGUGUUUGUAAUUUUCAUCCAUAAUCCGUAAUCUUUACUCCUCUCUUCUUCCUUUCCUAAAUCACAUGGCUUCAAACAGCUUCUUUCUUUUGGAUUCACAUCCUUUAAGCAGAAGUUUUAAACAUGG
Molecule: long non-coding RNA, 1129 nt
Filed under: Felis catus (domestic cat)
Lineage: Eukaryota; Metazoa; Chordata; Mammalia; Carnivora; Felidae
Description: lncRNA (ENSFCAG00000050098.1)
Source: RNAcentral